CACCGGCGGCUCGAGUGGUAACCGUUAUUAUUGGGUCUAAAGGGUCUGUAGCCGGCCGGAUAAGUCUCUUGGGAAAUCUGGCAGCUUAACUGUCAGGCUUUCAGGAGAUACUGUCUGGCUCGAGGCCGGGAGAGGUGAGAGGUACUUCAGGGGUAGGGGUGAAAUCUUGUAAUCCUUGAAGGACCACCAGUGGCGAAGGCGUCUCACCAGAACGGACCUGACGGCAAGGGACGAAAGCUAGGGGCACGAACCG
RNAcentral lists this ribosomal RNA (253 nucleotides) under uncultured archaeon. Its description in RNAcentral is "partial 16S ribosomal RNA". It matches the Rfam family "Archaeal small subunit ribosomal RNA", at positions 474 to 726 of the family's 1478-position model. The record is from RNAcentral.